UCUGGGACAAGCCCUGGAAACGGGGUCUAAUACCGGAUACCACUCCUGCCUGCAUGGGCGGGAGUUGAAAGCUCCGGCGGUGAAGGAUGAGCCCGCGGCCUAUCAGCUUGUUGGUGGGGUAAUGGCCCACCAAGGCGACGACGGGUAGCCGGCCUGAGAGGGCGACCGGCCACACUGGGACUGAGACACGGCCCAGACUCCUACGGGAGGCAGCAGUGGGGAAUAUUGCACAAUGGGCGAAAGCCUGAUGCAGCGACGCCGCGUGAGGGAUGACGGCCUUCGGGUUGUAAACCUCUUUCAGCAGGGAAGAAGCGAAAGUGACGGUACCUGCAGAAGAAGCGCCGGCUAACUACGUGCCAGCAGCCGCGGUAAUACGUAGGGCGCAAGCGUUGUCCGGAAUUAUUGGGCGUAAAGAGCUCGUAGGCGGCUUGUCACGUCGGAUGUGAAAGCCCGAGGCUUAACCUCGGGUCUGCAUUCGAUACGGGCUAGCUAGAGUGUGGUAGGGGAGAUCGGAAUUCCUGGUGUAGCGGUGAAAUGCGCAGAUAUCAGGAGGAACACCGGUGGCGAAGGCGGAUCUCUGGGCCAUUACUGACGCUGAGGAGCGAAAGCGUGGGGAGCGAACAGGAUUAGAUACCCUGGUAGUCCACGCCGUAAACGUUGGGAACUAGGUGUUGGCGACAUUCCACGUCGUCGGUGCCGCAGCUAACGCAUUAAGUUCCCCGCCUGG
This 727-nucleotide ribosomal RNA is filed under the name Streptomyces sp. Its description in RNAcentral is "bacterial SSU rRNA". It matches the Rfam family "Bacterial small subunit ribosomal RNA", at positions 137 to 876 of the family's 1533-position model. Lineage: Bacteria; Bacillati; Actinomycetota; Actinomycetes; Kitasatosporales; Streptomycetaceae. The record is from RNAcentral.